Molecule: ribosomal RNA, 253 nt
Filed under: uncultured bacterium
Lineage: Bacteria
Description: partial 16S ribosomal RNA
Rfam family: Bacterial small subunit ribosomal RNA
Source: RNAcentral
UACGGGGGGGGCAAGCGUUGUUCGGAAUUACUGGGCGUAAAGGGCUCGUAGGCGGCCAACUAAGUCAGACGUGAAAUCCCUCGGCUUAACCGGGGAACUGCAUCUGAUACUGGAUGGCUUGAGAUUGGGAGAGGGAUGCGGAAUUCCAGGUGUAGCGGUGAAAUGCGUAGAUAUCUGGAGGAACACCGGUGGCGAAGGCGGCGUCCUGGACCAACACUGACACUGGGGAGCGAAAGCCAGGGGAGCAAACGGG